GCCAUAUCUCAGACUGGCCAAUAAAAAUAAAAGAUUAAGUUGGGCAAAAGAACACAGACACUGGACAGAGGAACUCUGCCUAGAACGCCAGCAUCCUCUGCCUAGAACGCCAGCGGGCUUUUGACCAGGUAAGACUGAACAUUGACAAGGCACAGGAGAAACAGCAGGAGAGCUACUGGAGGAGAAUCAAGAAGGGGACCACGUGCUUCGACAUCCGGGAUAGUUACUUGAUUUGGAAGAAGAAUCAAAGGAAGGCGAGACCUGGGAAACUGGGGUCACCAUCUGUUAAGGGUUACCUCGGUGGAUGCCAACAAUCUUCUCCAGUUGGAGCAGUUGGAUGGUGGACAUUACCUCUCCAAAUGACUUCAGGACCAUCGACUGUCUGAGCCCCCAAGGAGGUAUCCCAUCC
This is a long non-coding RNA of Oncorhynchus gorbuscha (pink salmon), 409 nucleotides long. RefSeq lists it as uncharacterized. The record is from RefSeq and is a predicted model, not a curated record. NCBI's taxonomy places the organism in Eukaryota, Metazoa, Chordata, Actinopteri, Salmoniformes, Salmonidae. The transcript has 3 exons.